This 253-nucleotide ribosomal RNA is filed under the name uncultured bacterium. RNAcentral describes it as "partial 16S ribosomal RNA". It matches the Rfam family "Bacterial small subunit ribosomal RNA", at positions 524 to 776 of the family's 1533-position model. The record is from RNAcentral.
UACGAAGGGGGCUAGCGUUGCUCGGAAUCACUGGGCGUAAAGGGUGCGUAGGCGGGUCUUUAAGUCAGGGGUGAAAUCCUGGAGCUCAACUCCAGAACUGCCUUUGAUACUGAAGAUCUUGAGUUCGGGAGAGGUGAGUGGAACUGCGAGUGUAGAGGUGAAAUUCGUAGAUAUUCGCAAGAACACCCGUGGCGAAGGCGGCCACCUGGGCCGACCCUGACGCUGAGGCGCGAAGGCGUGGGGAGCGAACGGG